This is a long non-coding RNA of Daktulosphaira vitifoliae (grape phylloxera), 565 nucleotides long. RefSeq lists it as uncharacterized. The record is from RefSeq and is a predicted model, not a curated record. Lineage: Eukaryota; Metazoa; Arthropoda; Insecta; Hemiptera; Phylloxeridae. The transcript is spliced from 3 exons.
UUAAUUAUAAAUUAAGGCCUCUUAUAUGUAAUAAAAAACACAUUAUAGUUAAAUUAAUACCUUCUCAGCUUCAUAUCAAAGCUAAAAUUAAAGAAAGAAAAAGCAAUUCUAACUUUUAGAAUUAACAAUAAAUCAUUUUAAAGAAUUCAACUAGUUGCACUGUUAUGAUACAAUUCAGUGUAUACUAUCAAUGGUACAAACAUUUUAUAUUGGAAUCAUAAUUGAAUGUACGUGUUAAUUAACAUGAGUUUAUUGUCAAUGAUUAAUUUCAUCAAUAUUUACACACUUUAAAUCAAUCAGUUGUGAAACAUCGAAAUUUGAAUAUAUAUUAAAUUCUGCUUAAGAUACACCAAACAACCGAGACAUUUAAUGUUAUUUAUUUUAUUCGACGAUUCAGUAAAAAAAAAACCAAAAAGGAAAAAUAUAUUGUUCAUACACCAUUGUAAAAUUAUGCAUAACUAUUUUAUUAUGCUUAUGACAUAUUAAAGAAAACGUUUUAUGGUCAAAACAUGAUUAUUCUUACCAAUCCUUUUUUUAAACCAAAAUAAAAAAAAUGCUUACCACG